Non-coding RNA from Paramormyrops kingsleyae, 405 nucleotides. Lineage: Eukaryota; Metazoa; Chordata; Actinopteri; Osteoglossiformes; Mormyridae. The record is from RefSeq and is a predicted model, not a curated record.
CAGUAUCAUUCUCUUGUCUGCCUUCCCAUACGGUUCUGACUCAAGAGGCCUCAGCAGGAAUUAUCUGGUCUGGAUCGGCACAAAAAUGGAGGAAGCUGCUUCUGAAAUGCGCCCCCCUGUGGAGUGUAAGAGGAAGAGCACUGAGAGUGUCCUGAUGGAGAGAGCAGACUCCCCUGUACCCAGCUGUGUUUCCCUGAAGAGUGACAAGUCAAUGCAGAAUCCACUCAACUUCAGAGAGGGACCUUUUCCUACAGAUCAAAGUGUCCUGAUGGAGAGAGCAGACUCCCCUGUACCCAGCUGUGCUUCCCUGAAGAGUGACAGGUCAAUGUAUAAUCCACUCAACUUCAGAGAGGGACGUUUUCCUACAGAUCAAAGGUAAAUGUGCAUUUAAACAAACACUGAUUA